GUCGACGCGCAGAUGGAUGAAGUAGGCAGUUAUUAAUGCUCUCAAACGCGUCUGAGAUCCCGAUCGUUGAUGCGUCUUGGCGAUCAGAUGACUGAGACGAAUCGGGCACCUCCGCAUUAAUGGCAACAGGGAACAAGGAUGACACGCAUCGCUUGGCGAAUCGCAAAAAAAUAGACCUUCAUGAAUGCUCUUGACACGGGGGAGUUUUGGCCGUUGAUGCGGAGCCGUGAUCCAACGGUUAUGGAUGGAGUGAUCUGCAGCCUAUUAACGUCUCCGGUGCAGGUUUAUCCAAGCCGUUCUUGGGGUUGUGAUCCCACAGCUUUGGGGAAAGCAUGACGUGUGACUCGAUCAAAUGAAUGUGAAGCGGCCACGUGUGAUGAUCCUAAGGCUCUGAAACUUUAGAUAUUUAAACCCAAAAUUUUGGUUCUACCCAUUUUUUUUCCCUUCAUUCUCUCACACGCCCCUUCCCCUCUCUGUCUCUCCUUCUCUCUUUUCCUUAACCCUCCCCUUUUUCACCAAUUCCAACUUAAAAGCCCCUCAUUUUUCUUCUUUUUUUGCAGCACCUCUAAUGCUGACACGACCUUCCGACAUGGAUUAGGAAACGCCAAUCGUCCCUCAUGGUAGCGACCUGUGCUCCACCCGCUCCUUGAAGCUGUAGAUCCGAGCCUCAGACCAAGCACACCUUGCUCGAAGAUCUUCACGCUCGGGAGCAAUGGAUGUGAUCCUGAGGGUCCAUAUGGCAGAUGAGGAAUGGAAGGCUUUUGAGAGGUUUCCAAAUGGAAGCACCAAGAUAGAGGGAAAGGUAGCUGAGGUGAUCCAGAUGUCAACAUAGGGGAGGAGGGCUUCUGGAUGUCUCAGCUUGGCAAGCCCAGAUUGGAGCAAGGAAGGAUUCAGCAUUUGUUUCUUCUUUUUUGUAUUUUGAUUUUUGUAAUCUUUAUUAUGUAUUUGUUAUUCUUUGUGCAUGCUCCCUACAAUUUUAGUUCUGGGACACUCAUUUCUGUAUCAUAUUUUUAAAUUUUCAAUUCUAUUUGGCAAAUUUUGAGUGAGGGAA
Long non-coding RNA from Malania oleifera, 1051 nucleotides. RefSeq lists it as uncharacterized. The transcript is spliced from 3 exons. Lineage: Eukaryota; Viridiplantae; Streptophyta; Magnoliopsida; Santalales; Ximeniaceae. The record is from RefSeq and is a predicted model, not a curated record.